RNAcentral lists this long non-coding RNA (392 nucleotides) under Salvia miltiorrhiza (redroot sage). RNAcentral's name for it is "long non-coding RNA (SMIL_LNC004318)". Lineage: Eukaryota; Viridiplantae; Streptophyta; Magnoliopsida; Lamiales; Lamiaceae. The record is from RNAcentral.
UCCUAAUCAAAGUCAACUCCUAUUUAUCUAGUCUAAAGUUGCGGCUUAGUUAAGGAAACAAAAUUAGGGAAUUAAUCCCUUAUAGUGGCCGACCCUUAGCCCACAAAAUUGGGUUGUUUUCGGCCCUAUCAAAACUUAAGCCCAAAAUAAAUAAUAAAACAAGAGUUUAGGGCUUCAUUUAAAUAUAAAAUAAUUAACUUCAAGCCCAAUCUCUAAUUCUCUUCCAAAAGCAUUCAACUUGAUCCAAAAUUCUCGACUUUCAUCAUCUCCCGACAUCUGCCAUCUUCAUUCUCCAUCCACGCAAUUCCUGCGCCAAAUGCCAACGAACUUGGGCAAAAAUCAAAUAAAAACACACGAUAAAUAACUCGAAUCUAGACAACUAAAUCACACAC